UACGGAGGGUGCGAGCGUUGUCCGGAAUCACUGGGCAUAAAGCGCACGUAGGCGGCGGCGUAAGUUGGAUGUGAAAUCCCCCGGCCCAACCGGGGAACUGCGUCCAGUACUGCGUUGCUUGAGGAUCCAAGGGGUGCAUGGAAUUCCCGGUGGAGCGGUGAAAUGCGUUGAUAUCGGGAGGAACUCCGGCGGCGAAAGCGGUGCACUGGUGGAUUACUGACGCUGAGGUGCGAAAGCCAGGGGAGCAAACGGG
This 253-nucleotide ribosomal RNA is filed under the name uncultured bacterium. RNAcentral describes it as "partial 16S ribosomal RNA". It matches the Rfam family "Bacterial small subunit ribosomal RNA", at positions 524 to 776 of the family's 1533-position model. The record is from RNAcentral.